GAAACGGAAUUCUGGGGAAUGGUUUUCGGGGGAAUGGUUUUCUGGGGAAUGUUAUAGAAUCGGUAUUGAUUCUAUAACAUUCCCCAGAAAACCAUUCCCCCGAAACCCGUUCCCCAGAAUUCCAUUCC
RNAcentral lists this microRNA precursor (128 nucleotides) under Aedes aegypti (yellow fever mosquito). RNAcentral's name for it is "pre miRNA AAEL028936". Lineage: Eukaryota; Metazoa; Arthropoda; Insecta; Diptera; Culicidae. The record is from RNAcentral.